RNAcentral lists this ribosomal RNA (339 nucleotides) under Triticum aestivum (bread wheat). RNAcentral describes it as "partial small subunit ribosomal RNA". The record is from RNAcentral. Lineage: Eukaryota; Viridiplantae; Streptophyta; Magnoliopsida; Poales; Poaceae.
AUGGCAGUAGUUGUUCGGUUUGUGAACAUAGAAGGGUUGAUAAGGGAGCGUUUCCUUGAUCUUGUUCAUGUUAGUGACACUUGUGCUUUGACUCUCAAGAAUAAAAUCAUUGCUGUCCUAGUUGAUAAUGGGUUGAAUGAGCAAGAUAUUAGAGGCCAAGGGUACGAUGGAGCAAGUAAUAUGAGAGGGGAGUGGAAUGGGCUAAAGGCUCUAAUUCUCCAAGAGUGUCCUUAUGCUUAUUAUAUCCAUUGUCUAGCUCAUCAACUCCAAUUGGCUUUGGUUGCCGCUUCAAGGGAGGUAAAUGAGGUUCACAAUUCCAACAUGCAAAUUUUGUUGUGA